Molecule: ribosomal RNA, 253 nt
Filed under: uncultured bacterium
Lineage: Bacteria
Also listed under: 1 other name
Description: partial 16S ribosomal RNA
Rfam family: Bacterial small subunit ribosomal RNA
Source: RNAcentral
AACGUAGGGGGCCAGCGUUGUCCGGAAUUACUGGGCGUAAAGAGCGCGUAGGCGGUUUGGUUAGCGGAGGGUGCAAUCCAGAGGCUCAACCUCUGAACUGCUCUCCGAACUGCCAGACUUGAGUGCGGGAGAGGGUAGUGGAAUUCCUGGUGUAGCGGUGGAAUGCGUAAAUAUCAGGAGGAACACCCGUGGCGAAGGCUGCUACCUGGAACGUAACUGACGCUGAGGCGCGAAAGCUAGGGGAGCGAACGGG